GACGAACGCUGGCGGCGUGCUUAACACAUGCAAGUCGAACGGAAAGGCCCUGCUUUUGUGGGGUGCUCGAGUGGCGAACGGGUGAGUAACACGUGAGUAACCUGCCCUUGACUUUGGGAUAACUUCAGGAAACUGGGGCUAAUACCGGAUAGGAGCUCCUGCUGCAUGGUGGGGGUUGGAAAGUUUCGGCGGUUGGGGAUGGACUCGCGGCUUAUCAGCUUGUUGGUGGGGUAGUGUCUUACCAAGGCUUUGACGGGUAGCCGGCCUGAGAGGGUGACCGGCCACAUUGGGACUGAGAUACGGCCCAGACUACUACGGGAGGCAGCAGUGGGGAAUAGUGCACAAUGGGCGGAAGCCUGGUGCAGCAACGCCGCGUGCGGGAUGACGGCAUUCGGGUUGUAAACCGAUUUCGCCUGUGACGAAGCGUGAGUGACGGUAAUGGGUAAAGAAGCACCGGCUAACUACGUG
RNAcentral lists this ribosomal RNA (468 nucleotides) under uncultured bacterium. RNAcentral's name for it is "partial 16S ribosomal RNA". It matches the Rfam family "Bacterial small subunit ribosomal RNA", at positions 28 to 507 of the family's 1533-position model. The record is from RNAcentral.